Solanum lycopersicum (tomato) is the source of this 1154-nucleotide long non-coding RNA. RefSeq lists it as uncharacterized. NCBI's taxonomy places the organism in Eukaryota, Viridiplantae, Streptophyta, Magnoliopsida, Solanales, Solanaceae. The record is from RefSeq and is a predicted model, not a curated record.
CUGACUCCUUUACUUUAGAAGAAAAAAUUGGUAAUUGAGAAAGUUUAGGUUUACCUGAAACUGCUGCAUAAAUAUUAACAUCUAAACCUGGUUUGGUUGCUUGAGAUGAUUAUUCUCCUCCAGAUUUUGAUGCUUCUUUCUUAGUUUCCAGUCUCAAUUCUUUUUCUGGAAGUUAACCAUAUGCAAUUCUUUUUUUAGAUUGUUUUUUGUUCCUUUGGAGUGGUGCUAGUGCAAGGAUCUGUUUGGAUCUUGAUCUGAGAGCAUUUAUUUGCAGUAUGCCCCAAUCUUCCGCAAGUUGUACAGAAAAAUCCUUAUCCUUCUUACAAGAUAGGCUGUAUGAGCUCUCCGAUUUUGAUAGAGCUCAAAACUGGUUUUUCAAAAGGAAUUUGGACACAUAAUCUUACAUAUCUACCUCUUAAGAUGGAGCUAGUGCAUACAUCGAUCUUUAAUAGUUUUCCAAUGAAAUUAUCCACUUUUUUUAAUAUCUUUUCAUCAUAAAAAUCUGUAGUUAAUUGAGGUAAUCUAUCCAAAUGUCUAAGUAUGUUAGAAUUCCUUUUCUGGGACAAAAUUUUGCUUCCAUCUUUGUAUAUUAAGGAAGUGGUUAUUAAUAAACCACGGUCCAUUGUAAAGUGUCUGGACCAUAUUUUCCUCUUUGUAAAAAUUUCACAAAUAAUAGUCUUCUACCAGGUCAAUUUGGGGAAAAGUUUCAGAUGGCUUCAAAAGUUGUAUGACUUUUGUCUUCAGAUAUUGAUGAGCAAUUCUCUUUAGAAAUGAGUUUAAUGAUGAGGGCGUAUUUCCAAGGUGAGUGUUUUCCAAAAUUCUGAGGAACCUGACGAUGCUAAAUAUAUACUCUCAAUUGCUGAAUUUUGGUUGACUUAAUUCCCUCUGAUUAUUGGGUUCUAAUGUUGUCUUCAGACGUAAUGUGUUGUCCAGACACACAACUUAUUUCUGCUUGCAACCAAGAAUAUUGAUGCUCUGCCUGCAACCAAGAAUAUUUUACUGUUCAAGUAUCUUUUGGCAUGCUUGCUUGUUUGAGUAUUUCGUGUAUCGAUGCUUAGAAAAAAGAAGAAGCUAUUUCUGUGAUAGUUCUAUUUGUCUAGACUCUCGACUUCACUUAUCUUCGAUCAAUUUCAAGUUGUAACUAUAACCCGGAC